CGGGAUGUGGCGCAGCUUGGUAGCGCAUCCGCUUUGGGAGCGGAGGGUCGCAGGUUCAAUCCUGUCAUCCCGACCA
This 76-nucleotide transfer RNA is filed under the name Rhodococcus (subgen. Prescottella) equi. Its description in RNAcentral is "Rhodococcus hoagii tRNA-Pro". It matches the Rfam family "tRNA". From Rfam's summary of the family: Transfer RNA (tRNA) molecules are approximately 80 nucleotides in length. Their secondary structure includes four short double-helical elements and three loops (D, anti-codon, and T loops). The record is from RNAcentral. Lineage: Bacteria; Bacillati; Actinomycetota; Actinomycetes; Mycobacteriales; Nocardiaceae.